This 399-nucleotide ribosomal RNA is filed under the name uncultured bacterium. RNAcentral's name for it is "bacterial SSU rRNA". It matches the Rfam family "Bacterial small subunit ribosomal RNA", at positions 30 to 409 of the family's 1533-position model. The record is from RNAcentral.
AGCGAACGCUGGCGGCGUACCUAACACAUGCAAGUCGAACGAGGAUAGCGGUGUGAGCAAUCAUGCCGCGAUUCGAGUGGCGCACGGGUGAGUAACACGUGGGUAACCUGCCCUUGAGACCGGGAUACCUCCCCGAAAGGGGGGCUAAUACUGGAUACGUCCUCCGGAUCGUUGGAUCUGGACGGGGAAAGGUGGCGAAAGCUGCCGCUCGAGGAGGGGCUCGCGGCCUAUCAGCUAGUUGGUGAGGUAACGGCUCACCAAGGCGAUGACGGGUAGCUGGCCUGAGAGGACGACCAGCCACACGGGGACUGAGACACGGCCCCGACUCCUACGGGAGGCAGCAGUGGGGAAUUUUCCGCAAUGGGCGAAAGCUUGACGGAGUGACGCCGCGUGGGGGAC